AGAGGAGAUGGAGAUGACCAGGCAUCAGAGAGUGAUUCAGUUAAACCGAGAAAGAGAGAGAAACGUAGUACAGGCCGAACAGAAAGAGGAGAUGACGAGGCAUCAGAGAGUGAUCCAGUUAAACCGAGAAAGAGAGAGA
Carassius auratus (goldfish) is the source of this 139-nucleotide long non-coding RNA. RefSeq lists it as uncharacterized. The transcript has 3 exons. NCBI's taxonomy places the organism in Eukaryota, Metazoa, Chordata, Actinopteri, Cypriniformes, Cyprinidae. The record is from RefSeq and is a predicted model, not a curated record.